UACAGAGGUCCCAAGGCGUUGUUCGGAUUCACUGGGCGUAAAGGGUGCGUAGGUGGUGAGGUAAGUCGGAUGUGAAAUCUCGGAGCUUAACUCCGAAAUGGCAUUGGAAACUACCCCGCUAGAGGAUCGGAGGGGAGGCUGGAAUUCUCGGUGUAGCAGUGAAAUGCGUAGAUAUUGGGAGGAACACCAGUGGCGAAGGCAGCCUGCUGGGCUGUGCUGACGCUGAGGCGCGACAGACG
Molecule: ribosomal RNA, 239 nt
Filed under: uncultured bacterium
Lineage: Bacteria
Description: partial 16S ribosomal RNA
Rfam family: Bacterial small subunit ribosomal RNA
Source: RNAcentral